Molecule: ribosomal RNA, 497 nt
Filed under: uncultured bacterium
Lineage: Bacteria
Description: partial 16S ribosomal RNA
Rfam family: Bacterial small subunit ribosomal RNA
Source: RNAcentral
GACGAACGCUGGCGGCGUGCCUAAUACAUGCCAGUUGAGCGAUGAAGAUUGGUGCUUGCACCAAUUUGAAGAGCAGCGAACGGGUGAGUAACGCGUGGGGAAUCUGCCUUUGAGCGGGGGACAACAUUUGGAAAUGAAUGCUAAUACCGCAUAACAACUUUAAACAUAAGUUUUAAGCUUGAAAGAUGCAAUUGCAUCACUCAAAGAUGAUCCCGCGUUGUAUUAGCUAGUUGGUGAGGUAAAGGCUCACCAAGGCGAUGAUACAUAGCCGACCUGAGAGGGUGAUCGGCCACAUUGGGACUGAGACACGGCCCAAACUCCUACGGGAGGCAGCAGUAGGGAAUCUUCGGCAAUGGACGAAAGUCUGACCGAGCAACGCCGCGUGAGUGAAGAAGGUUUUCGGAUCGUAAAACUCUGUUGGUAGAGAAGAACGUUGGUGAGAGUGGAAAGCUCAUCAAGUGACGGUAACUACCCAGAAAGGGACGGCUAACUACGUG